Molecule: long non-coding RNA, 483 nt
Filed under: Olea europaea (common olive)
Lineage: Eukaryota; Viridiplantae; Streptophyta; Magnoliopsida; Lamiales; Oleaceae
Description: long non-coding RNA (OEUR_LNC011761)
Source: RNAcentral
UUCAUCUUCACCUUCCUACACCCACGCCCACACCCAAAAACCAUUGAAUGAAAUCUUCUUCUCCUUCUUCUUCCAAGCACCCAUCAGACGAGGACCUAAAAUGCACUGCCACAAAUUUACCUUCAUAUUUUCUGAUACUGCCUCUUUCUUCUCCUUUCAGUUUCAUCCACAACGCCCAUUUCUCAAAAACCAGUCAAUUUCAAAACCCAAAUUCAUGUUACUCAAAAUAGCAACUUCAAAUAUUAUUCGUGAAGUUCAUAGCUCCAUUGAUAAUUUUUUUUAAAUGCUACAUGCUUUUGCGUCCCAGAAUGCUUUUGUUGAUAAAUUUCUUUCAUUUUCUUGUCGUCUUUCAACUUGCCACUAGGUAAUUUCAGCUCUUUCUGAAUAUGUAAAUGGGUAUGCUUCUAGUCCGCCAUCGGCGUUGAAAUUAGGGUUCUUCAAGUUAAUGUAAUCGAGUAUUAAUUUUAUUGAUUAAGUUUGCUA